AACGCACCUUGCGCUCCUUGGUAUUCCGAGGAGCAUGCCUGUUUGAGUGUCAUGGUAUUCUCAACUCAUUCAAUAUUGUCAAAGAUAUUGAACUGAGCUUGGAUGUGGAGGAUAUUUGCUGGCCGUCACCAUCUUGUGAAUCAGCUCCUCUGAAAUGCAUUAGUGUGAAUGAACUACCUAGCAUUCCCUCAGUGUGAUAAUUAUCUACGCUGUGCGUCUUGGGUAAAUCAUGCUUCCUAACGGUCCGCAAAUGUGGACAAUAUCUUAUUUUGACAUCUGACCUCAAAUCAGGUAGGAUUACCCGCUGAACUUAA
Molecule: unclassified non-coding RNA, 314 nt
Filed under: uncultured fungus
Lineage: Eukaryota; Fungi
Description: sequence contains ITS2
Rfam family: 5.8S ribosomal RNA (bases 1-52)
Source: RNAcentral